ACAUGCAAGUCAACGGAACUAAGCGACUUCGGAGACUUCGGUCAAUGUUUGCUUGGUUUAGUGGCGGACGGGUGAGUAACGCGUGGAUAACCUGCCUCAGUACAGGGGAUACAGUUGAAAUGACUGCUAAUACCGCAUAAGCGCACGGAAUCGCAUGUUUCUGUGUGAAAAGCUCCGACGGUAUGAGAUGGAUCCGCGUCUGAUUAGCUGGUUGGCGGGGUAACAGCCCACCAAGGCGACGAUCAGUAGCCGGCCUGAGAGGGUGAACGGCCACAUUGGGACUGAGACACGGCCCAAACUCCUACGGGAGGCAGGCAGUGGGGGAUAUUGCACAAUGGGGGAAACCCUGAUGCAGCGAACCGCCGCGUGAGUGAAGAAGUAUUUCGGUAUGUAAAGCUCUAUCAGCAGGGAAGAUAAUGACGGUACCUGACUAAGAAGCACCGGCUAAAUACGUGCCAGCAGCCGC
This 466-nucleotide ribosomal RNA is filed under the name uncultured bacterium. Its description in RNAcentral is "bacterial SSU rRNA". It matches the Rfam family "Bacterial small subunit ribosomal RNA", at positions 53 to 518 of the family's 1533-position model. The record is from RNAcentral.